RNAcentral lists this ribosomal RNA (1100 nucleotides) under uncultured bacterium. RNAcentral describes it as "bacterial SSU rRNA". It matches the Rfam family "Bacterial small subunit ribosomal RNA", at positions 28 to 1118 of the family's 1533-position model. The record is from RNAcentral.
GAUGAACGCUAGCGACAGGCCUAACACAUGCAAGUCGAGGGGCAGCAUAAAGGUAGCAAUACUUUGGUGGCGACCGGCGCACGGGUGAGUAACACGUAUGCAACCUACCUGUAAGAGGGGAAUAACCCGGAGAAAUUCGGACUAAUACCGCAUAAUACCGCUUAGCUGCAUGGCUGAGUGGUUAAACAUUUAUGGCUUACAGAUGGGCAUGCGUAUGAUUAGCUAGUUGGUGAGGUAACGGCUCACCAAGGCAACGUAUCAUUAGGGGUUCUGAGAGGAAGGUCCCCCCACACUGGUACUGAGACACGGACCAAAUUCUUCCGGAAGCCACCAGUGAAGAAAUUUUGUCCAUUGGCCAAAACCUGAACCAGCCAGUCGGUGGAAGGAAGAAGGUUCUAUGGAAUGUAAACUUUCUUUUGUAAGGGAAUAAAAAAGGUCACGUGUGGCCUUAUUGUAUGUACUUUACGAAUAAGGAUCGGCUAACUCCGUGCCCAGCAGCCCGCGGUAAUACGGAGGAUCCAAAGCGUUAUCCGGGAUUUAUUGGGUUUAAAGGGUGCGUAGGCGGACCCGUAAGUCAGUGGUGAAAGUUUGCAGCUCAACUGUAAAAUUGCCAUUGAAACUGCGGAUCUUGAGUGUAAAUGAGGUAGGCGGAAUGUGUUGUGUAGCGGUGAAAUGCUUAGAUAUAACACAGAACACCAAUUGCGAAGGCAGCUUACUAGGAUACAACUGACGCUGAGGCACGAAAGCGUGGGGAUCAAACAAGAUUAGAUACCCUGGUAGUCCACGCAGUAAACGAUGAAUACUAGCUGUAUGCGAUAUACUGUAUGUGGCAAAGCGAAAGCGUUAAGUAUUCCACCUGGGGAGUACAUUCGCAAGAAUGAAACUCAAAGGAAUUGACGGGGGCCCGCACAAGCGGAGGAACAUGUGGUUUAAUUCGAUGAUACGCGAGGAACCUUACCCGGGCUUGAAAGUUAGUGACCGACCCUGAAAGGGGUCUUUCCGAAAGGACACGAAACUAGGUGCUGCAUGGCUGUCGUCAGCUCGUGCCGUGAGGUGUUGGGUUAAGUCCUGUAACGAGCGCAACCCCUAUCAUUAGUUGC